RNAcentral lists this microRNA precursor (70 nucleotides) under Tursiops truncatus (common bottlenose dolphin). Its description in RNAcentral is "miRNA (ENSTTRG00000025089.1)". The record is from RNAcentral. Lineage: Eukaryota; Metazoa; Chordata; Mammalia; Artiodactyla; Delphinidae.
GACUGACCAUCUGGUUUGCCUGGGACUGAGGGGUUUCCCCGGACAUGGAACUUUCAGUGCUAAAACUGGG